CAGCAGCCGCGGUAAUACAGAGGGUGCGAGCGUUAAUCGGAUUUACUGGGCGUAAAGCGUGCGUAGGCGGCUUCUUAAGUCGGAUGUGAAAUCCCUGAGCUUAACUUAAGAAUUGCAUUCGAUACUGGGAAGCUAGAGUAUGGGAGAGGAUGGUAGAAUUCCAGGUGUAGCGGUGAAAUGCGUAGAGAUCUGGAGGAAUACCGAUGGCGAAGGCAGCCAUCUGGCCUAAUACUGACGCUGAGGUACGAAAGCAUGGGGAGCAAACAGGAUUAGAUACCCCCGUAGUCCCUGUCUCUUAUAC
This 301-nucleotide ribosomal RNA is filed under the name uncultured bacterium. RNAcentral describes it as "partial 16S ribosomal RNA". It matches the Rfam family "Bacterial small subunit ribosomal RNA", at positions 509 to 807 of the family's 1533-position model. The record is from RNAcentral.